RNAcentral lists this ribosomal RNA (487 nucleotides) under uncultured bacterium. Its description in RNAcentral is "partial 16S ribosomal RNA". It matches the Rfam family "Bacterial small subunit ribosomal RNA", at positions 28 to 507 of the family's 1533-position model. The record is from RNAcentral.
GACGAACGCUGGCGGCGUGCUUAACACAUGCAAGUCGAACGGGCUCUGUCUGGCUGUGUGCUGGGUGGGGUUAGUGGCGAACGGGUGAGUAAUACGUGAGUAACCUGCCCUCUUCUUUGGGAUAAGCCUUGGAAACGGGGUCUAAUACUGGAUAUUCCUGUCUGGUCGCAUGGCUGGGUGGGGAAAGUUUUUUUCGGUGGGGGAUGGGCUCGCGGCCUAUCAGCUUGUUGGUGGGGUGAUGGCCUACCAAGGCGUCGACGGGUAGCCGGCCUGAGAGGGUGACCGGCCACACUGGGACUGAGAUACGGCCCGGACUCCUACGGGAGGCAGCAGUGGGGGAUAUUGCACAAUGGGCGCAAGCCUGAUGCAGCGACGCCGCGUGGGGGAUGACGGCUUUCGGGUUGUAAACCUCUUUCGUCGGGGGACAAGGCUCUGCUUGGUGGUGGGGUUGAGGGUACCCGGUGAAGAAGCGCCGGCUAACUACGUG